RNAcentral lists this transfer RNA (85 nucleotides) under Felis catus (domestic cat). It matches the Rfam family "tRNA". Rfam says of the family: Transfer RNA (tRNA) molecules are approximately 80 nucleotides in length. The record is from Rfam by way of RNAcentral. Lineage: Eukaryota; Metazoa; Chordata; Mammalia; Carnivora; Felidae. RNAcentral also lists the same sequence under 3 other names.
GCCUGGGUGGCUCAGUUGGUUAAGCAUCUGACUUCAGCUCAGGUCAUGAUCUCACAGUUUGUAGGUUCAAGCCCUGCACCAGGCU